UUGAUAGUACCUUACUACUUGGAUAACCGUGGUAAUUCUAGAGCUAAUACAUGCUAAAAACCCCAACUUCGGGAGGGGUGUAUUUAUUAGAUAAAAAACCAAUGCCCUUCGGGGCUCCUUGGUGAUUCAUAAUAACUUCUCAGAUCGCAUGGCUUUACGCCGGCGACGGUUCAUUCAAAUUUCUGCCCUAUCAACUUUCGAUGGUAAGGUAGUGGCUUACCAUGGUUUCAACGGGUAACGGGGAAUUAGGGUUCGAUUCCGGAGAGGGAGCCUGAGAAACGGCUACCACAUCCAAGGAAGGCAGCAGGCGCGCAAAUUACCCAAUUCCGAUACGGAGAGGUAGUGACAAUAAAUACUGAUACAGGGCUCUUUUGGGUCUUGUAAUUGGAAUGAGUACAAUUUAAACCUCUUAACGAGGAACAAUUGGAGGGCAAGUCUGGUGCCAGCAGCCGCGGUAAUUCCAGCUCCAAUAGCGUAUAUUAAAGUUGUUGCAGUUAAAAAGCUCGUAGUUGAACCUUUGGCCUGGCUGGCAGGUCCGCCUCACCGCGUGCACUUGUCCGGCCGGGCCUUUUCUUCUGGAGAACCGCAUGCCCUUCACUGGGUGUGUUGGGGACCAGGACUUUUACUUUGAAAAAAUUAGAGUGUUCAAAGCACGCCUUUGCUCGAAUACGUUAGCAUGGAAUAAUAGAAUAGACGUGCGGUCCUAUUUUGUUGGUUUCUAGGACCGCCGUAAUGAUUAAUAGGGACAGUCGGGGGCAUCAGUAUUCAAUUGUCAGAGGUGAAAUUCUUGGAUUUAUUGAGACUACUACUGCGAAAGCAUUUGCCAAGGAUGUUUCAUAUCAGUGACGAA
RNAcentral lists this ribosomal RNA (850 nucleotides) under Pseudopithomyces mori. RNAcentral describes it as "SSU rRNA". It matches the Rfam family "Eukaryotic small subunit ribosomal RNA", at positions 121 to 983 of the family's 1831-position model. The record is from RNAcentral. Lineage: Eukaryota; Fungi; Ascomycota; Dothideomycetes; Pleosporales; Didymosphaeriaceae.